This 58-nucleotide microRNA precursor is filed under the name Nautilus pompilius. RNAcentral describes it as "Npo-Mir-22-P1_pre stem-loop". Lineage: Eukaryota; Metazoa; Mollusca; Cephalopoda; Nautilida; Nautilidae. The record is from RNAcentral.
CAGCUCAUCCUCAGGUAGCCUUGUAGUAUGUAGCAAGCUGCCUGAUGAAGAGCUGUCC